GCUUCCGAGAGAGAACCACCUCUGGAAAGAAGGAAGCGAGGAAGAGAGAGCCCUGGUGCACACGAGAAUUUAGAGUUCCAGAAGAGGAGGAGGAUCCAGCAAAGGCAACUGGGAAGGAGUGACUUGGAAGUCCUAGGUCACAGUGGAAUCAGAAUUCGAAUCUCCUCUGCUGGCCUCCAUACUUCCAGCUGCACUCCAUGCCUCCAAGCCCAGAACUAGAGAAGUAGCAGAAGGAAUAGGAAGGAGGGCACAGAUAUGAGGAUGCUCCCAAAGAACAGAAUUUGGAACUAAGAGUCAGCCUCUGUCCAGUUCAGACGGGACAAGACCGCCAACCCACCAACUGUGCCUGCUCAGGUGUCCAGUAGGUGAACUCCUGACUUUAGGGAACUAAACAUUCCACCCUCGGAUCAUGCUAAUGCCACCAUUUUGUGACCAUGCAUCCUGUGAAGAGCCAUGAAGCCUGGCUACACUUGUGCAGAUCAACAAUUACCUCACUCCUCCUUGCCUCGAACCAUCUGUCACCAUACUUUAGACCACUUUGCCAGAUUAUCCCAUAAAUAUCCCUAAUCCCCAUGUUUUGGAGAAGCAGAUUUGGGAUUUGUUCUCCUGCCUCCUCACUUGGCUGCC
RNAcentral lists this long non-coding RNA (627 nucleotides) under Equus caballus (horse). RNAcentral's name for it is "lncRNA (ENSECAG00000055113.1)". The record is from RNAcentral. Lineage: Eukaryota; Metazoa; Chordata; Mammalia; Perissodactyla; Equidae.